Molecule: ribosomal RNA, 253 nt
Filed under: uncultured bacterium
Lineage: Bacteria
Description: partial 16S ribosomal RNA
Rfam family: Bacterial small subunit ribosomal RNA
Source: RNAcentral
UACGUAGGGUGCGAGCGUUAAUCGGAAUCACUGGGCGUAAAGGGUGCGUAGGCGGGUCUUUAAGUCAGGGGUGAAAUCCUGGAGCUCAACUCCAGAACUGCCUUUGAUACUGAGGAUCUUGAGUUCGGGAGAGGUGAGUGGAACUGCGAGUGUAGAGGUGAAAUUCGUAGAUAUUCGCAAGAACACCAGUGGCGAAGGCGGCUCACUGGCCCGAUACUGACGCUGAGGCACGAAAGCGUGGGGAGCAACAGGG